RNAcentral lists this ribosomal RNA (497 nucleotides) under uncultured bacterium. Its description in RNAcentral is "partial 16S ribosomal RNA". It matches the Rfam family "Bacterial small subunit ribosomal RNA", at positions 28 to 507 of the family's 1533-position model. The record is from RNAcentral.
GAUGAACGCUGGCGGCGUGCCUAAUACAUGCAAGUCGAGCGAACAGAUGAGGAGCUUGCUCCUCUGACGUUAGCGGCGGACGCGUGAGUAACACGUGGAUAACCUACCUAUAAGACUGGGAUAACUUCGGGAAACCGGAGCUAAUACCGGAUAAUAUAUUGAACCGCAUGGUUCAAUAGUGAAAGACGGUUUUGCUGUCACUUAUAGAUGGAUCCGCGCCGCAUUAGCUAGUUGGUAAGGUAACGGCUUACCAAGGCAACGAUGCGUAGCCGACCUGAGAGGGUGAUCGGCCACACUGGAACUGAGACACGGUCCAGACUCCUACGGGAGGCAGCAGUAGGGAAUCUUCCGCAAUGGGCGAAAGCCUGACGGAGCAACGCCGCGUGAGUGAUGAAGGUCUUCGGAUCGUAAAACUCUGUUAUUAGGGAAGAACAAAUGUGUAAGUAACUAUGCACGUCUUGACGGUACCUAAUCAGAAAGCCACGGCUAACUACGUG